This is a long non-coding RNA of Salvia splendens (bonfire salvia), 910 nucleotides long. RefSeq lists it as uncharacterized. The transcript is spliced from 2 exons. The record is from RefSeq and is a predicted model, not a curated record. NCBI's taxonomy places the organism in Eukaryota, Viridiplantae, Streptophyta, Magnoliopsida, Lamiales, Lamiaceae.
AUCUAUCACUUUCCCGAGUGACACAAACGAACGAGAAUCUGAAAGUUUGGGGUGAACCCCUAAUUUGUCAAGGCACGACGAGGCAAGGAAAUCGAGAGUGCAAAUGGAGGCCGAUGGACCAUGAAACUUUUUCUUGGAAUUGCGUGAAACGUUGGAGCAAGCUUGAUGUGUGAACUAUUUUUACUUUCCUAUGUUUUCCCUGAACGACAAGAACAAAAAGAAUACGAGGAAGAUUUCAAGAAGUGGAAGAUAGCGAAGACGAAAUGAAGUUCAAACGCAAAGGAGGGUGCAAGACAAGAAGGGAUGAUGCAGAGUGCGCGAUUUAAUUUAAUAUAGUCUAAUCUCGUGUAAUUUAUUAAAAGUGGCAAUACGAUGGAGAUAACCUUCGUAGCAGGCAGAGAAGCACGCGGAUUAUUACAAUGUUUUGCUAGAAUGACGUUUACGACAUGCCAGAAGUAUUACGUUUAUACGACUUUUAACUACAAUGUUAAUUAAACGACAUGAGGAAGCGCCCGACUUUUCCCUAUUCCUUUAAGUUGUUUUUGGAUUACUGUCGAAUUUUUUUUACCAAAUAUCGUUCCGUUUUAUUUUGAGAGCCUAUGGAAUUUUUUUUUUUUAAGAAGCCGAAAUAUUAAAUAAUUGUCAUAUUCUUCAUGCAGUCAAAUUUAAGUCAAAUAAAUAUCUCCCAAUCCCAUUACUAUACGGAUGUCUCCAUAUCUCCUUCAUUCCUUAAAAAUCUCCAACGAAAUACUCUUUGUUAACUCUAUUUAUACUUUUCCUCCCACAAUCUCAGCAACCUACCGUUCCUGCAGUUUUCUUCCCUUCCAACCAAGUUGAGAAGGAAUAGUUCGAGUAAGAGAGCCGAGAGUCCCCAAAUUGUUUUCCUGCAACUCUUUGCAACAAAGGUAUA